This 253-nucleotide ribosomal RNA is filed under the name uncultured bacterium. RNAcentral's name for it is "partial 16S ribosomal RNA". It matches the Rfam family "Bacterial small subunit ribosomal RNA", at positions 524 to 776 of the family's 1533-position model. The record is from RNAcentral.
UACGUAGGGUGCAAGCGUUGUCCGGAAUUAUUGGGCGUAAAGAGCUCGUAGGCGGUCUGUCGCGUCGGCUGUGAAAUCCCGAGGCUCAACCUCGGGUCUGCAGUCGAUACGGGCAGACUAGAGUGAUGUAGGGGAGACUGGAAUUCCUGGUGUAGCGGUGAAAUGCGCAGAUAUCAGGAGGAACACCGAUGGCGAAGGCAGGUCUCUGGGCAUUAACUGACGCUGAGGAGCGAAAGCAUGGGGAGCGAACAGG